AACAGGUCUAUGACUCAGUUAUCAAAGCCCUCGCUCUGCUUGGGGUUUGGGGAAAUUUCCGCAGUCAGGUGGGUGCUGCAUGCCGCAAGGCGUCGUGACAAAAGGAACCAACGUAAGAGCAGAAGCAGAACACGCUUCUGCUCAUUGAUUUGAAUCAGAAUGCGGGUCGUCAAUGGAGAUGCGCGUGACUGUAUUUCUACACAGGGAGAAUGAAGACAGCGCUCCGCUCUCAGAAAGUACAGCAGCAUGAAAGCGGGCACACGGUCACUGUAAACACCAGCCCCGUUUUGGAGGAGACCCGUGAUAGCUGACCAUAGCUAGAUGGGCAUGAAUGUCCAGCAAGCAUUUGCUAUCUGUUCAUUGUCACGAUAGAUGCCGCCGGCGACAGGAAGGCAACCAAGACUGACCUGCCUUCAGGGAGCUGCUGUGACUCCCUUUGAAUCAGUUUCACUUGUUUUGUUUUGUGAGACAGGGUUUCGCUCUGUAUUCCAAGCUGGCCUCAACUCAGUGAUCUUGCCUCAGC
Chinchilla lanigera (long-tailed chinchilla) is the source of this 523-nucleotide long non-coding RNA. RefSeq lists it as uncharacterized. The record is from RefSeq and is a predicted model, not a curated record. The transcript has 3 exons. Lineage: Eukaryota; Metazoa; Chordata; Mammalia; Rodentia; Chinchillidae.